RNAcentral lists this ribosomal RNA (254 nucleotides) under uncultured bacterium. RNAcentral's name for it is "partial 16S ribosomal RNA". It matches the Rfam family "Bacterial small subunit ribosomal RNA", at positions 524 to 776 of the family's 1533-position model. The record is from RNAcentral.
UACGGGGGGAGCAAGCGUUGUUCGGAUUUACUGGGCGUAAAGGGCGCGUAGGCGGCGUAACAAGUCACUUGUGAAAUCUCCACGCUUAACGUGGAGGGGCCAUUCGAAACUGCUGUGACUCGAGUCCGGUAGGGGAGUGUGGAAUUCCCGGUGUAGCGGUGAAAUGCGCAGAUAUCGGGAGGAACACCAGUAGCGAAGGCGGCACUCUGGGCCGGUACUGACGCUGAGGAGCGAAAGCGUGGGGAGCGAACAGG